This 247-nucleotide ribosomal RNA is filed under the name uncultured bacterium. RNAcentral describes it as "partial 16S ribosomal RNA". It matches the Rfam family "Bacterial small subunit ribosomal RNA", at positions 88 to 334 of the family's 1533-position model. The record is from RNAcentral.
UGGAUGAGUGGCGAACGGGUGAGUAACACGUGAGUAACCUGCCCCCUUCUUUGGGAUAACGCCCGGAAACGGGUGCUAAUACUGGAUAUUCACUGGCCUUCGCAUGGGGGUUGGUGGAAAGGUUUGUUCUGUGGGGGAUGGGCUCGCGGCCUAUCAGCUUGUUGGUGGGGUGAUGGCCUACCAAGGCUUUGACGGGUAGCCGGCCUGAGAGGGUGACCGGUCACAUUGGGACUGAGAUACGGCCCAG